Actinia tenebrosa (Australian red waratah sea anemone) is the source of this 603-nucleotide long non-coding RNA. RefSeq lists it as uncharacterized. The record is from RefSeq and is a predicted model, not a curated record. NCBI's taxonomy places the organism in Eukaryota, Metazoa, Cnidaria, Anthozoa, Actiniaria, Actiniidae.
AGCUUAACAUUUUCCUCCAAUCAAGCGUGGUAAUCCCAAAAACAAUGACUACUGGCUUAUCUCAGAAAUACUGAGUUAACUGACACAAAACUGAAACCAYGACUUGAAUUGUUGAUGAAUUUCUUAGCAUGUAUUUUGAAAAACAUUUUGGUGCUAAUAUAUUAACAGGAAUAUCCUUGAGGCACAAUAUUUUUUUAAUUAUCAAUUCCUGACUGCAUGAGAACACACACUCUCACAUCUCCAAACAAUGGCAAUACUAAAUGUUUGAUUUCCUAGAUGAAUUACAGCUCAUUUGAAUUGGUYGGAACCAAAUCACUGUCAAAAGUACAAGGAUUGGAAUCCGAUUCCAAGGCAGGGAUUGGUGGCAUAGGUGGAGUUGUUAUGUUAUGCAAUUCUCUCUCGGUAACAAGUGGCUGCCGUUCCUUAGAGAUGGUUCCCUCACCUCGAGGAGGGGGAGGAGUCUGAUUGGCAGCAGGUGGCCGCUAGGGGAGAGUUGACUGCCUAUUUUAUGACAUAUUAUUGGAAAUGUCCAAUACUUGCCUGCACUUCUAGAGCUUGUAUGAGAAACAGUUGGUGACACUGGCUGAGAGCCAGAACCAGAAG